Long non-coding RNA from Clupea harengus (Atlantic herring), 760 nucleotides. Lineage: Eukaryota; Metazoa; Chordata; Actinopteri; Clupeiformes; Clupeidae. The record is from Ensembl.
AAUGGCAGUAUCCUUUACUCAGUCUAAUUUACCAUGUCUAAGGCAACUGGAGAGUGUGUUUGAGGGAAUGAGGGAGCCACUUCGCUCUGUCCUCCUUACAUACUUUGUACCACACAUUUUCUCUUAGGUUUAGCAUUGGACACAGGAGCGUCAUGGGACAAUGGUGCGAAAACCUAUAGGGCAAAUAAACAUCUGCCUCAUCGUCGCUCUGCUUCCACUUUUGCAAGGGUUGAAUGACUCGCAGCCUGGUGGAGAACCUGUGUACAGAGAAGCAAAUAAUUAUGGGUUGGAGGUCAAUGACCCUUGGGAAGUGGUGUACACAGAGGUCAAGACUAACGGUGUUGUGGAAAAGGGAGUGAUCCUUGAGUGUGGUCCUUCCCUCCCAGAUGUCUACAUCUGGGGUUUCACUAAGCCAGGGACAGAGACCCUCAGAGCAGUGGUCUACAACUUCGGCAGAGGUCCCAAGAUACAGAGACUGGCCAAAUCAUUGGGGGAGCUGAGUGUCAAUGACAGCAGUGCCUCUAUUUCCGUUGCCAAGCUACCCCUGGCUGCACAGGGCCUUUACACAUGCCAGGCUCUUUAUGACACUGCCGAGGGAGCCAGACUGUACUAUUACUAUAUAUAUCUACGUGUUUUAGUGCCAGUGACGAGGCCGUCCAUCGUCCUGAGCGAUUCCCCUGCAGCAGAGGGUUCAUCCAUAUGGAUGCGCUGUGACCUUGAAAAUGGCACUGAACCCAUUAGCUACACGUGGGAGCAGGAA